This 393-nucleotide ribosomal RNA is filed under the name uncultured bacterium. RNAcentral's name for it is "partial 16S ribosomal RNA". It matches the Rfam family "Bacterial small subunit ribosomal RNA", at positions 523 to 918 of the family's 1533-position model. The record is from RNAcentral.
AUACGGAGGAUGCGAGCGUUAUCCGGAUUUAUUGGGUUUAAAGGGAGCGUAGGUGGGAUAUUAAGUCAGCUGUGAAAGUUUGGGGCUCAACCUUAAAAUUGCAGUUGAUACUGGUUUCCUUGAGUACGGUACAGGUGGGCGGAAUUCGUGGUGUAGCGGUGAAAUGCUUAGAUAUCACGAAGAACUCCGAUCGCGAAGGCAGCUCACCGGGCCGGAACUGACACUGAUGCUCGAAAGUGCGGGUAUCAAACAGGAUUAGAUACCCUGGUAGUCCGCACAGUAAACGAUGAAUACUCGCUGUUCGCGAUACACUGUAAGCGGCCAAGCGAAAGCGUUAAGUAUUCCACCUGGGGAGUACGCCGGCAACGGUGAAACUCAAAUGAAUUGACGGGG